GGUUUACCUUUCAUCUAAAGAAAGGCUUUCUAAAAUUGUUAACAUUCUGCCUUAGUAUUCCUGAUGUUGCGUACAUGGUUUCAUGCGUUUCUUUUACCUCCCUUUGAUUAUCGUUCAGCAAAUGUUUGAAUGAAGAUGUCCAUGCUCUAGAAAGUUUCGAUCAAAUUUCGUUGUAUAUGAACCAAGAUCUACAGAUGUCCAUGCUCUACAGGUUACAUGGUGUACGGUACAGUUCUGGGAGUUAGCUGAUGACAGUAUAUUUGCACUUUUAUUUUGGUGCUUAACAGAGUCAGUUGCAGGUGUUAACAGUAUUCAUGUGCACCAAGGAUCUCUAGGAGUUGAGGAGGAAUGAGGAGUCCAUGGCCAUCAAUUGGCGGCGCCAGGAAGCUCAGCAAGAGGCAUGCAAGAGGAUCACCAUCGUUGUAGUACACCAUAGCUCAGACUAGCACCACAGAUGGAGUUUGACACCUUGAAGCAAACAAGGUAAAAGUCAUGCAAGAGGAUCACCAUCGUUGUAACACACCAUAGCUCAGACUAGCACCACAGAUGGAGUUUGACACCUUGAAGCAAACAAGGUCUUCAGAAAGGCCAAAUAGAACAUGACUUUGCUUUCUUUGUAGCGCCGGUGUUGAUUUGAGUAAAAAUAUUACAGACAUCAACUAAGAUAAUACCAGGUUUGUUGAGGUAUUGACUUGGUUCUUAAAGGUUAAAUUAGUUUUUAUUUAUUCAUUUUUGGUUCUACUCUUUUUAGGUCAAAAUAAUGAUGCUUUCUGCUAUAUUCGUAUGGUACAGAUAAAUAGUUUAUCUAUUUUUUUAAUCUUCAAAGCCAGUAAAUGUCAACUGUGUGCGGUCUACUGACUGAUUGUUUUAUAUAACUAUGCUUCAGUAAAUGCAAAAUAAAAUGCUUACUUGAUAGUUGGCCUCUGAAUAAUCUGAAUGUUAUAUAGUGGCGAACUCCAAAAAAUUGGGUUGCCUCUGUAGUAAUCAGUGUCGUUUCACCAAGUAUGCUUUGUCACCUCUGUCUGUAUUGGUAUUUUUCCUAGGUGUUUGAGUUGCAGUAAGAUGGUUUUCCUCUUUCUUGAAUUUAUUUUCCGCCAUUCAUGCCUCUUGGUGCCUAUAUUUUUCCAGGUUACUAUAGGAGAAAGGCCUGGUGUAUCCUUUUUCUAGCUACAAUGAUCACCAUCAUACGGGUUACCUCAUUAUGUCUUUCUUUGUUUAUGUUUAAUCUCUUUGUAUUUGAAUUGGUUACUCUCCAAUUAGGCAAAUCAUGAUACUAAAACUUGCUGGAUGCAUGGUACAUAGCCUUGCACAUAUAUUUAC
This is a long non-coding RNA of Lolium rigidum, 1320 nucleotides long. RefSeq lists it as uncharacterized. The record is from RefSeq and is a predicted model, not a curated record. NCBI's taxonomy places the organism in Eukaryota, Viridiplantae, Streptophyta, Magnoliopsida, Poales, Poaceae. The transcript has 3 exons.